Rhopalosiphum padi (bird cherry-oat aphid) is the source of this 873-nucleotide long non-coding RNA. RefSeq lists it as uncharacterized. The record is from RefSeq and is a predicted model, not a curated record. The transcript has 2 exons. NCBI's taxonomy places the organism in Eukaryota, Metazoa, Arthropoda, Insecta, Hemiptera, Aphididae.
CAGUACAGCAGAUCACUUAAGACAUGAUUUACCAUUUCUACCACAUGGGAAAGUUACAACAUCCUACGCUGAAAAUGGACUAGACGAUACUGAUAAUAAUAAUGGUUUUAUGCAAAGUUCAAUGUAUCGACUAAUAAUUGAAAUUUUGGCAAUAAACAAGUUAAAUUUAUGGUAUCUACAACAGUCAUAUUCAAAACUUUAUAACUCAACUCAUGCAAGUUCUGUAUAUAGUGUUCUUAUAAUGUAUUACUCAUUUAAGGUUUGUUACCUAUUAGCACAUCUGAAACAACUUAACAGAUACAUUGACAAGAUAAUGAUUUAUUUUAUAAUGUUGUAGUCAGGUGUUGGUUGAUUACCUGUGAUUUUGCAAUUGUUGGCUGUUCAAUUUUAUAGUAGAGUAGUAAAUGGUGAUAGAAUUACUAUUUUAUAAUAUUAAAUGGCUUGUAUAUGUAUAUUGUUUUUUUUUUACUUUUCUAUAUUAGACAUAGAUAAUAAUAAAUAAUAUAAGUAUAUAUUAUUAUAAGUACACAACUAUAACACAAGGAUGUUUGCUAUAUUAAUAAUGAUUGAUUUCUAUUUUACAUUGCGUUUUAAUUUAAUACCAUUGAUUAUAGAAUUCUAUAAUCAAUGGUAAUACUGAGCUAUUGAAACAAUUUUCAAAAUAAUUUAAUGAAUAUAAUUGUUUUUUUUUUCAAUUAUAGUUAGCAAGAUACAUUAACCAAAGUAUACAUAUAUCCAGACCAAUUAGGAGAUUAUUCUUAUAUAUGUUUGGUAAAACAUCUGAAAAUACUGUAUAGUGUAAAAUUUUAUCAUAUUAUAUUAUCUGAAUUACUAUAGUAUGUCACUUUACUAUUAUAAAAGUUAUUUUAUCGA